Pangasianodon gigas (Mekong giant catfish) is the source of this 88-nucleotide non-coding RNA. Lineage: Eukaryota; Metazoa; Chordata; Actinopteri; Siluriformes; Pangasiidae. The record is from the annotation of a GenBank genome assembly.
AGAGUGUCCCCUUUUUAAAGAUGUCCACUCCAGGAACAGGGCUCAGUGGUACGUUCACUUUGGUUCCAUUCACCUGAGAACAGGUGGA